Molecule: ribosomal RNA, 497 nt
Filed under: uncultured bacterium
Lineage: Bacteria
Description: partial 16S ribosomal RNA
Rfam family: Bacterial small subunit ribosomal RNA
Source: RNAcentral
GAUGAACGCUGGCGGCGUGCCUAAUACAUGCAAGUCGAGCGAACAGACGAGGAGCUUGCUCCUCUGACGUUAGCGGCGGACGGAUGAGUAACACGUGGAUAACCUACCUAUCAGACUGGGAUAACUUCGGGAAACCGGAGCUACUACCGGAUAAUAUAUUGAACCGCAUUGUUCAAUAGUUAAAGACGGUUUUGCUUUCACUUAUAGAUGGCUCCGGGCCCGAUUAGCUAGUUGGUAAGGUGACGGCUUACCAAGGCAGCGAUGGGUAACCGACCUGAACGGGUGAAUGGCCAGCCGGGAAGAGAGACUCGUUCCAGACACCUACGCUGGGCAGCAGUAGGGAAUCUUACGCGAUGGGCGAAAGCCUGACGGAGCAACGCCGGGUGAGGGAUGAAGGUCUACGGAUCGUAGAACGCUGUUAUUAGGGAAGAACAAAUGUGUAAGUAACUAUGCACGUCUUGACGGUACCUAAUCAGAAAGCUACGGCUAACUACGUG